UAUCUCCCAAAGCUGCAGUUUCAAAACUAAACAUUAGGGUACAUCAUAACAGCCGUCAAUCCAUCCAGCCAUUUUCUGUACCGCGUAUCCUCACUAGGGUCGCGGGCGCGGUGGAGCCUAUCCCAGCUAUAGUGAUUGGACGAACAACACUAAUGCGUCAGCACUUUGCCGAGCGCACAAGAAAAAAAUCAUGUGACCGAUACAGGAAGUUUGGAUGUGCCGCGAAUUGUGUUUACAAAAGGAAACAAACUGUGCCGACAUGUUGCGGAUUUGUUGGAUGGAGUUUUGCUGUUGGAUUUUGGAUUUUCGCUUGGCCUCACCUUGUUCCACUGACUUCAUGGAUCUGUCCAAGAAGUUUUCUCCCAGUCUGGAAUAAUUUUGAUCUUUUGACGCCAAAUAAGGUGAAGUAAGUGUCGGCUCUGCUCCACAGAGCUAUCUUACAUCAAUAAGAAGAGCACUUCAUCCAUGCUGAGGCAUUAUAGAGCUCGGCAUGGCAAUGAAGAAUUGGCAGCUACUCGUGUGAGUACCCCAGGUCCUAACAAGCAAGGUGUGGAUGAGGCUGUGGUCAACGUGAUCAUCAAAGACUGUCAGCCACUCACCAUUGUUGAAAAUGAGUGAUUCAGGGAGCUCCUGAAGCUUAUCAACUCACACUUAAAUGUUUUUGCUCACCAUCUUCAUCUGUACCCUGUGAAAGAGUUUUUUGUAAGGGAGGGGAACUGGUGUCUGAGAGGAGAAAUCGCCUUGGAGCAAAGGCACUUCAAAAACCUUUGUUCCUCAAUAAAAAUGCAUAAAUGAA
Molecule: long non-coding RNA, 796 nt
Organism: Phycodurus eques (leafy seadragon)
Lineage: Eukaryota; Metazoa; Chordata; Actinopteri; Syngnathiformes; Syngnathidae
Exons: 3
Source: RefSeq, a predicted model, not a curated record